AGGUCGUGGUGUCUUUCACCGCGGUGAAGCCGCAGCUACUCGUGGAGGCGCCCAAGGCUAACGACGCUGUGGAAUUCUACAAGGCUGCUUUCGGUGCUGUGGAGACUGGCCGUACGACUCAUCCUAAGCGCAAGGCUGACCAGGAGCUCCCUCAGAUCAUCUCUGCUCAGCUCCAGGUCGCCGGCACCACUAUCCUCGUCUCUGACCAUUCUGGCGAGUCUGCAACGUACGCCUCCCUCUCUCCCUCUUUUAUCCUUAACGAAUCUGUUUCGCGUUUCUUAUUGUUUCACUAUGUAAUAUAUCAUCAGAUCUGACUGGUUAUACAGUGAGAAACUCUUUUGUUGCUAUUUGUGAACUUGCUUGCUCUGUAAACGACUUGUUUGGUCUGCUCUUUAUUUCGUCCGUCUAGGCCUAGAUAUCUAUUGUGUAUAUGUUAUUAUGUAGUCAUCCUUAAGAGUAAAAACUGACUCACGUCGUUUCUCAUCCUCAUCGGUUAUCGUUACCGUCGUUGCUCUGUUCGUAUCGAUGACUGCUGAGCUUCUUAUUACCGUCUAUGUAGGCUUGUUUAGUUGUUUCGCUGUUCUCUGUUUCCGGUUUGUUCAUUGCGUUCGGUUAUAUUUUGUGUUGCCUGCUCUGUGUUUAUCUAUCCUACGGUUCCGUUUGUCCUGUUAGAUAGCGAUCUGUCUGUUCUUAAAUCGGCUGCCGAUAUCUUCUUAUAGCAGAGUUUGUGGAUGUGCCGUCGCAAUCUCCAGCUGACUGUUAACAAUUCUUAUAUUGUUUUGUUCUUGAAUAUUGUUGACUGUUUGUUCUCUGUUUAUUUACUUUCCUUGCAUCCAUUUUUUUUCUCAUUUGCACAGAGCCGGAACUGGGCUGUCACUCUGCUUGGAGACAAACGAUCUCGAUGCCGCAGUAUCCAAGGCCAUCGCCGCCGGAGCUACUUCCGAGGGGGGUGAGACCACUGAGUCUGACGGCGCGUGCUGUGGAAGUGGCGUGGGGAAGAAAGUGAAGGACCCCUAUGGAUUUGUUUGGCUCAUCUGCUCUCCUCCAGCUGCAGCCUCUGCUGCUGAGGUGGAGGCCUGAUAGCCCUCAGUUCCUCUGGCAUGGCAUAUCAACCGUAGAUUUCCUAUUUCCGCUAGCCAGUUUGUCCUGUUUAGGGUUGUUUCUGAAGAAUUGCUUUUGUGGUAGUACCAGACGUUAUCGGAAUAGGAGUACGGUUAGGCUAACUGUGCAGUGCAUCUUUCUGCUGCCUCUAUUUCUCUGAGGGGGGAAUAGUGAGAAUUAUCUUUUGCUGACCAUCGCUGUUGAUGAAUGCCUACCUGCUUCAUGAAUUAUGAAUUUCUGGUAUUUCAGUUACUGUUUUAAAAUUUAUUUUUGAAUUUUGAAAUGAAAUUUGAAUUUCCCUCAGAAACGGAGUAGUGCAUUUAAUAAAAAUGUAUUUUUUAUAAUGCAUUUAAUGAAAGGUGAGAGGCUUACUUGUGAAGUUUUAGUUUCUCACCAUUAAUUUUCUGUUUUGACACGUAGCAUGUACUUUUAAACGUAAGGUUGAAUAGUCAACCAAAUGGACGUUCCAACUUCCAAGCCUAGACCAUGGCACCGUAUUGUAAAUAACCGAUAUUCGGGAUGGCAAGGUUUUAAUAUGCCCCUGUCCUUUCGAAUUCUCGUUUCGUCUUCACAAGGAACGAAAGCGGUUGCACUUCCCUGCUAUAAAACCGAAAAACAACCUCUACCCUGAUUCCCUGACCGUUCUUUAUUUUUCCGCUUUUUGGUCUCUCUCUCUCUAUCUCUUGGGUCUCGAGCUCUCCAUCUCAAUCCUCUUUUCUCGUUCCCUCAAGCUUUUCACACCAGUCAUCCAUGGCGGAACAAGCUGAUGUCCACAAUGGAGGUGCUGAGAAGGCUGAGGUGGUGGUCUCCUUCACCGCGAUGAAGCCGCAGCUGUUUGUGGAGGCGCCCAAGGCUAACGACGCUGUGGAGUUCUAUAAGGCUGCUUUCGGUGCUGUGGAGACUGGCCGUACGACUCAACCCAAGCGCAAGGCGGACCAGGAGCUUCCUCAGAUCAUCUCCGCUCAGCUCCAGCUCGCCGGCACCACCAUUCUCGUCUCUGACCAUUCCGACGAAUCUGCUCCGUACGUCUCCGUCUCCCUCUCUCCCACGCGUACAUUUCUAGCUCACAGAGGUUCUGUUUGAAAUUUAUUGUCAGACCUGUCUGUUUUACAUUGUAAAUGACUCUUUGCCGUUCUAAUUUAUGAGCCUAGGGAUUUAAUUUUUUUUCGCGCUUGUGCUCAUACAUACACAGCUUCCGUUUCUUCUCUGCUUGUUGACGUAGUGAUUAGCUUAUGACAUUUAAAAUAGAUUUAAUCUGCUCCAUGUUUGG
RNAcentral lists this long non-coding RNA (2371 nucleotides) under Linum usitatissimum (flax). RNAcentral describes it as "long non-coding RNA (LUSI_LNC007280)". Lineage: Eukaryota; Viridiplantae; Streptophyta; Magnoliopsida; Malpighiales; Linaceae. The record is from RNAcentral.